RNAcentral lists this ribosomal RNA (253 nucleotides) under uncultured bacterium. RNAcentral's name for it is "partial 16S ribosomal RNA". It matches the Rfam family "Bacterial small subunit ribosomal RNA", at positions 524 to 776 of the family's 1533-position model. The record is from RNAcentral.
UACGUAGGGUGUAAGCGUUAAUCGGAAUUACUGGGCGUAAAGCGCACGUAGGUGGUUUGUUAAGUCAGCUGUGAAAUCCCCGGGCUCAACCUGGGCACUGCAGUUGAAACUGGCAAGCUAGAGUAGGGUAGAGGGGUGUGGAAUUCCAGGUGUAGCGGUGAAAUGCGUAGAUAUCUGGAGGAACAUCAGUGGCGAAGGCGACACCCUGGACUCAUACUGACACUGAGGUGCGAAAGCGUGGGGAGCAAACAGG